AGAGCGAACGCUGGCGGCAGGCCUAACACAUGCAAGUCGAACGGACCCUUUGGGGUUAGUGGCGGACGGGUGAGUAACACGUGGGAACGUGCCUUUUGGUUCGGGAUAGCUCCUGGAAACGGGUGGUAAUGCCGAAUGUGCCCUUCGGGGGGAAAGAUUUAUCGCCAUUAGAGCGGCCCGCGUCUGAUUAGCUAGUUGGUGAGGUAAAGGCUCACCAAGGCUACGAUCAGUAGCUGGUCUGAGAGGAUGACCAGCCACAUUGGGACUGAGACACGGCCCAAACUCCUACGGGAGGCAGCAGUGGGGAAUCUUGCGCAAUGGGCGAAAGCCUGACGCAGCCAUGCCGCGUGAAUGAUGAAGGUCUUAGGAUUAGUAAAAUUCUUACGACCGGGACGAUAAUGACCGGUACCGGAGAAGAAGCCCCGGCUAACUCGUGCCAGCAGCCGC
This 447-nucleotide ribosomal RNA is filed under the name uncultured soil bacterium. RNAcentral describes it as "bacterial SSU rRNA". It matches the Rfam family "Bacterial small subunit ribosomal RNA", at positions 26 to 518 of the family's 1533-position model. The record is from RNAcentral.